AAGUAUUAUUGGUGAUAAAGUUGUUGAACUUUGGGACAGGUCAUAUGAUGAGAUUGAAGACCAAGAUAUUCCUAUCCAAAACAUGGUAGGAAAAUCGUUUUGUUUUGGGCUUUCCAUCACCGCUGAUAAUGUGACCAACGGAUCAGCUACAUUUAAGUUUGUUGUUUGGCUUUUUUGUUUCAUGUUGUUUUUGGAAUUUCUGGAUUUUGUUUGGAUUUCGUUUUUUUCAAUACUUUUCAUUUAAAUUCUAUUUUUAAUCAAUAAACUUGGCUUUUACUAAUAAUCAUGUCAACCAGUUAAACUAAGACCAUAGUAAUGUACAAGUCGAUUCCAUAAUUACCUUACCAGCAACUUAGCAUGUAACACUCUCACUAUAAUUUUUUGUAUAGUACUACAAUAGGUAUAAUUAACUCAUAAUCAUUUCGAAAAUACCUAUUUACGCAGUUAGUAAGCCAAUAUUAUCAAUGUGAUUGCCAUCCCUUCAGCUCUUAACGUUCCAACACAAACCUAUAAAUAUUUUGUAAAAAAAUAUAUCUGCAAAAAUAGAUUCUCAUAAAAGGGAAUUGCAAAAAAAAAAUAAUAAUAACUAAAAAUCGUUUUGUAAUAUAGAUUCUCAUAAAAUAUAUUUUUUUUACCAUAAUUUAAAUAUAAAUUAUUAACUAUCAACUUUAUUUAUGCUAAAAACGAAAAUUAAGAUCCUCUAAAUCUUUUGCACGCUAUGUAUCUCAAAAGUCUCUUUUAUUGCAUAACCGAUUACUAAUCCUACAUGUUUCUACUUUUCUUUCAUAUCAUCAGCAAAUCAUACGAUAAUUCAUUCACAUAGAGUUAAAAUCUUCUAAACAAAUUACUAACCGUGUUUUGCUCCUGUUUGAUGUCAAGUGCAUUGUCUAAGUUUGGUUUAGCUGAUGUCUUUUGGUUCUCCAAAACGUCAAUUAAUCAUGCAGACCAAAGAAAACAGUGUCAUUAUUUCCAUUAGAUAAGAGAAAUCUAUUCAUGAAUAAGAGAGGUAUUUUUUUCAAAAAAAAAAAGGGAACAAGAGAGGUAUUUCUAAAAAACAAAUACAACUCACAAUGCUAGCAGCAGUGGUACUUCGUCGUGACAUGCACUUGAAAAGAUGACUAAGACCAGCUCUGCAUAAAAUUUACAAUUCUAAAACUAGAACACCAUUACUGUCCAUACAAAUAUUUACUAUAUGUAGUGUAUCUCAAAACUUAAAAAAUAUUGAUAAGUGCCUGCACUCAUUAAGUAAGAAAUAGAGAGAGUGCUCUAUUACUUCAGAAACCGAAACAGGUAUUUUGUAAAUCUUAGCAUCAAUAAAGUUUGGUUAUCCAUAGUGUUUCAAAAAAAAAAAAAAUCCAUAGAUGCAAGUAUAUAUAAAUAGGUACAAUGCUCUGUCUCAUACCUGUCUACUCCUGCCUUAAAUUUGUUUUUCUGAUUCUUCUUUCUGCUAAAUCAAUAUCAGAAACACAUAUAUACAAAUUGUUAGGAUAUUUAUCAUCAGUGAGGACAAUUAACGAAAAGGGGAGUUUAUUGUGAUUGAUUACCGAACAGUAUAUCAAAUCGAACUUCGAUUGAUUCAUUACAUGCAAUCGAACCUAUAUAUCUGUUAACUAAGCCGGAUUCCUACUGUCUGAUCUCAUUCUUUGGUCAGAUGAACAUCGAUCGUUCAUAUGCAAAUAAGAAAAACAACUUCAAUCGAUUAAAAUAACUUAAUCGUAUAAACUAAAUUAAACUCGGAUAAAAAAAACUAACCUUGAUCAUAGAAGAGACUGCAGAACUAAAGAUCAAACUGAUUUCUUAUAUCUUCUUCCAUAGAUAUAUUUUCCAGUUUCAUGGAUCAAACAACAUGCAAUAGGGUUCAGCAAAGAGGAAAAAAAUAUGGGAGAAUGAGAAGUCGAUAGAAGGAGGAAAGUCGUUUGCCUACCUUUCUGUUAUUAAAUUGGGCUAACAUUAUUAAGCUAAUUAGAAAUCCAAUAUACAGCUAAUGAUAUGUGCCAGCAUUAAUAUAAACAAAACCCAAUUUAAUGGCCUAAAAUUGUGUUUCAAAAAAAAAAUGACCUAAAAUAUAUUUUGUUUUUGUCAACACCUAAGAAUUUAUUCUAAAACUAAAAUAAAUAAAAAACUUAAAAUUUUUAUUCAUAUUACCAAUAAAAAAAUUAAAUUUAUUUAUAUCAAUUUUUUAUU
Long non-coding RNA from Brassica rapa (field mustard), 2184 nucleotides. RefSeq lists it as uncharacterized. The record is from RefSeq and is a predicted model, not a curated record. NCBI's taxonomy places the organism in Eukaryota, Viridiplantae, Streptophyta, Magnoliopsida, Brassicales, Brassicaceae.